This 1583-nucleotide long non-coding RNA is filed under the name Mus musculus (house mouse). RNAcentral describes it as "RIKEN cDNA 4933404G15 gene (4933404G15Rik)". Lineage: Eukaryota; Metazoa; Chordata; Mammalia; Rodentia; Muridae. The record is from RNAcentral.
AAGGCAGCAGCUGAGAGUGAGCAGUAAAGUGAGCUGUGUGUUAGUUUAGGGUGGUCAGACUAAGCAUUGUGUUCUGAGAAUUUUAUAUUUUAUUGUUAAUCUUUGGAACUGAACAUCUGUGAUCCCCACGGACCUGAACAUAUGAAGCAGCUUGAAGACCAUUGAUCUCUACUAUACUUUGUUGCCAGUAGGAGAUUGUGGUGGUCCCAUCAUCCUCCUUUUGAGGUAAAGGACAUGGCAGACAAAUUUUCAUGGGCACAUCUCAGUGAUGCAAAUUUACUAUCAGCAUCCAGUGAAACAUGCACAGAUCUGAGUGAUGCAAAUUUACCAUCAGCAUUCAGUGAAACAGGGUGGUCCAUCUCCAGCCUGGUGAACACCAUAUGUUCCCUGAGCCACAUGGCAGUGGAGAACUUGGACAGGGCAAGAACAACUCACUUUAGAGACACCCUGGCGAAAAACGAUAUACUAUUCAAGAAGAAAAGCCAUUACCAUCCUGGACAAAUAGUACAACUUCAAAAAAGACACUCAGUCAAGUCACCUGCAUGUCGUAUCAUCCUUCCUCCCUUUCCCUUAAAGAGGAGAUGGAGUGAAUUGGCUCUGCCUACAUUCAUGGUGGCAUCAAAAAAUGGCAACAUUGUGCAGCAGGAUGACUAUGUGAAUAUAGUGAAUAUAAAUGCUACAGAGACAGAUGCUACUGAUUUGUUUGCUAAAACAUCCAAGGGGAUAAAAAAGGAGGCUGAGAUUGAAGAGACAGGAAUUACCAUCUCAUUUAGUCUCACACCUCUGGAUGUGCUGUCCUUUUUGGAGGAUACCACAAGCAAACAGAAACCUGGAUGUUCCAUCCUUGAAUUAACAUCUACCAAGGGCCGUCUCCAGGAGGCACCUAUAACCCCGAACAGGAACAGGAACAGGAACAGCAGAAGGCUAUGGAAGUGGGUGAGGAGACAUAUUAUUCACCCAUUCAGGAGGUUUCUCUGCUUUCCCACUCGAAGUAGAAGACACAGAACAUCCAGGAUUGAUCAUUGGGCCCAGGCCCGUGGUUCCUAAACCACAGGCCUGUGUUCGGCCUGGUACAGCAGAACUGCUGCAGGGGGAACCAGGCCAGAAGAGGCAGUGUAUACAACCUUUUGUUACCUGUCAGACACCUCCACCAACCAGGACUCCAUCUCUGUAACCCCAUCUCCUACAGAGUGUGAGUAAUUAGCUCUCUACUCUUUGACAUCAUUGUUCCCUAUGCACUAGUGCAUGGACAAAGAAGUCAUACACAUAAACUUCCUGCUAUGAAGAGACAGCCAUCCUGACUCUGCAGUCCAGGUGUGUCUAUCACAGAGCAUGCAUUGGCUGAAAUCUAUGAAGAACAGCAGAUUAAACCCUUUCCAGUUGCCUGGCUUGGAGUACCAUAGGACACUGGCUCUUAGCUUGCUGUAGGAGGCCGCCCACAAUGCCUCUGUGCUGUGAACUUUGUGUGUUCAUUUAUGCCCUGAUGUGAAAACUCAAAACAUAUGAAGAAACUGGGGCAGUGUAACAAUUUCCAUACUUUAGCCAAGAUUUCUCAGGCCUAACAUGUAAAUUCCUUUAUGUUA